UACCAGCACCCCGAGUGGUCGGGACGAUUAUUGGGCCUAAAGCAUCCGUAGCCGGCCUUACAAGUCCUCCGUUAAAUCCAGCUGCUUAACAGAUGGGCUGCGGAGGAUACUAUAAGACUAGGAGGCAGGAGAGGCAAGCGGUACUCAGUGGGUAGGGGUAAAAUCCGUUGAUCCAUUGAAGACCACCAGUGGCGAAGGCGGCUUGCCAGAAUGCGCUCGACGGUGAGAGAUGAAAGCUGGGGGAGCAAACCGG
This 253-nucleotide ribosomal RNA is filed under the name uncultured bacterium. RNAcentral's name for it is "partial 16S ribosomal RNA". It matches the Rfam family "Archaeal small subunit ribosomal RNA", at positions 474 to 727 of the family's 1478-position model. The record is from RNAcentral.